UGUUAAAUUUCUAUUCAUUUGUACUGUUAAAAGCUGACGUGAAUGACGGAAUAAUAGACAGUAACACGUGACAUGCUAUAUGUACCUCAUAUUGGCGUACAAUAAUCGAUUUUUAACACUAGAAAUGGGUGAAAUUUUUAAUA
Non-coding RNA from Gossypium hirsutum (cotton), 143 nucleotides. The record is from Rfam. Lineage: Eukaryota; Viridiplantae; Streptophyta; Magnoliopsida; Malvales; Malvaceae.